AACGAACGCUGGCGGCAGGCCUAACACAUGCAAGUCGAGCGCGCCCUUCGGGGUGAGCUGCGGACGGGUGAGUAACGCGUGGGAACGUGCCCUUUUCUACGGAAUAGCCUCGGGAAACUGAGAGUAAUACCGUAUACGCCCUUUGGGGGAAAGAUUUAUCGGAAAAGGAUCGGCCCGCGUUGGAUUAGGUAGUUGGUGGGGUAAUGGCCUACCAAGCCGACGAUCCAUAGCUGGUUUGAGAGGAUGAUCAGCCACACUGGGACUGAGACACGGCCCAGACUCCUACGGGAGGCAGCAGUGGGGAAUCUUAGACAAUGGGGGCAACCCUGAUCUAGCCAUGCCGCGUGAGUGAUGAAGGCCUUAGGGUUGUAAAGCUCUUUCAGCUGGGAAGAUAAUGACGGUACCAGCAGAAGAAGCCCCGGCUAACUCCGU
RNAcentral lists this ribosomal RNA (432 nucleotides) under uncultured bacterium. Its description in RNAcentral is "partial 16S ribosomal RNA". It matches the Rfam family "Bacterial small subunit ribosomal RNA", at positions 29 to 506 of the family's 1533-position model. The record is from RNAcentral.